GUCGAGCGGCGAACGGGUGAGUAACACGUGAGUAACCUGCCCCUAGCACCGGGAUAGCUCCGGGAAACCGGAAUUAAUACCGGAUAUGACCACGGUCGGCAUCGACUGUGGUGGAAAGGAUUCCGGCUAGGGAUGGACUCGCGGCCUAUCAGCUAGUUGGUUGGGGUAACGGCCCACCAAGGCGACGACGGGUAGCCGGCCUGAGAGGGCGACCGGCCACACUGGGACUGAGACACGGCCCAG
RNAcentral lists this ribosomal RNA (243 nucleotides) under uncultured bacterium. RNAcentral describes it as "partial 16S ribosomal RNA". It matches the Rfam family "Bacterial small subunit ribosomal RNA", at positions 90 to 334 of the family's 1533-position model. The record is from RNAcentral.